Molecule: non-coding RNA, 386 nt
Organism: Ceratotherium simum simum (southern white rhinoceros)
Lineage: Eukaryota; Metazoa; Chordata; Mammalia; Perissodactyla; Rhinocerotidae
Source: RefSeq, a predicted model, not a curated record
UUUUCCAAAUGGAAACGUACUGCAAAUCCUGGAGGCAAAAUGUGUGUGACAUGGAAUGUUGAAGGCCCUGUGAUGUGCCUAAUAAUCUUGUCCAUUUUAAGCAAGAAAAAAAUCAAGGUGAACUGAAGAAAAUGAGUCUUUCCCCAAAGGAGAUAGAAGAUGGGGAAAAUGAGAUGUCAGAAGAUAAGGACAAUGGCAGUACAGAUGAGGAAGGGAGUUACAUGGGCCAAGCUGCCAAAAGACAAGAAGAGUGCCAAGCUAGAGGACCGUGAAGAGAGAAAUGAGAACUAUGAGGAGGAUGAAGAUUCUGAAAAAGAAGCCUGGUAUUCUACAUGGGCCAGAGGGAGAAAAGCCCUUCCUAUGGGGGUGGAGGAAGAUGAGCUGGA